CGGGGUGUGGCGCAGUUUGGUAGCGCGCUUCGACAUAUGAUUCGGCCGAUGGACAUGAUCCUAAGCAUGAAUCGUCGAAGAGGUCGUGGGUUCAAAUCCCGCUACCCCGA
RNAcentral lists this transfer RNA (110 nucleotides) under Saccharimonas sp. (SeqCode). Its description in RNAcentral is "tRNA-OTHER". It matches the Rfam family "tRNA". Rfam says of the family: Transfer RNA (tRNA) molecules are approximately 80 nucleotides in length. Their secondary structure includes four short double-helical elements and three loops (D, anti-codon, and T loops). The record is from RNAcentral. Lineage: Bacteria; Candidatus Saccharimonadota; Candidatus Saccharimonadia; Saccharimonadales (SeqCode); Saccharimonadaceae (SeqCode).